CUCUCAAUCCAAUUUAUGGUCAACCCAAAUUACGGAGUGGCCCAUACGAGUAUUAGGGUUCCGCAUUUCACGAAAGGCAGCCCUAUAAAUUCGACAAACGAGGGUUUUACAUCAUUACCAUCAGGUUUCUGAACCUGUGAAAUCCGCCAUUGUUCCUGGAAAACGUGAGAACCUUCGUCAGCCAACAUGAGAGCUAAGUGGAAGAAGAAGCGCAUGAGGAGAUUGAAGAGGAAGCGCCGAAAGAUGAGACAGAGAUCUAAGUAGAGGCUUGUAUUCCGAAUGAGACUAGCUUCUUCCACCUGAUGUAAGACUGGCCUCUGGUCUUCUAAGGCUGUUAUGCAUAGGGGAAGGGGGUUCUCUCUAGACUUUUAGUUUAGCAGUAUUGAAAUUAAAGACUUAUUAUGAGUGUGUUUAGCUGUAAUUCUGACAGUUUUUGGUAUUAAAACAUGUACUGAGUACUUGUUUUUCUAUAUUUAUUGGUAUCUGAAUGACUUAUAUUAGUAUUUCUA
This is a long non-coding RNA of Arachis duranensis, 509 nucleotides long. RefSeq lists it as uncharacterized. Lineage: Eukaryota; Viridiplantae; Streptophyta; Magnoliopsida; Fabales; Fabaceae. The transcript is spliced from 2 exons. The record is from RefSeq and is a predicted model, not a curated record.